GACCUACGGGAGGCAGCAGUGAGGAAUAUUGGUCAAUGGUCGGGAGACUGAACCAGCCAAGCCGCGUGAGGGAUGAAGGUACAGAGUAUCGUAAACCUCUUUUGUCAGGGAACAAAGGCGGGGACGUGUCCCCGGAUGAGUGUACCUGAAGAAAAAGCAUCGGCUAACUCCGUGCCAGCAGCCGCGGUAAUACGGAGGAUGCGAGCGUUAUCCGGAUUUAUUGGGUUUAAAGGGUGCGUAGGCGGAAUAUCAAGUCAGCGGUAAAAAUUCGGGGCUCAACCCCGUCGCGCCGUUGAAACUGAUGU
RNAcentral lists this ribosomal RNA (305 nucleotides) under uncultured bacterium. RNAcentral's name for it is "bacterial SSU rRNA". It matches the Rfam family "Bacterial small subunit ribosomal RNA", at positions 334 to 639 of the family's 1533-position model. The record is from RNAcentral.